RNAcentral lists this ribosomal RNA (875 nucleotides) under marine sponge bacterium PLATEdelici-(1)-6. Its description in RNAcentral is "bacterial SSU rRNA". It matches the Rfam family "Bacterial small subunit ribosomal RNA", at positions 60 to 932 of the family's 1533-position model. The record is from RNAcentral.
AGUCGAACGGUAGCAGGAAGUGCUUGCACUUCGCUGACGAGUGGCGGACGGGUGAGUAAUGCUUGGGAACUUGCCUUUGCGAGGGGGAUAACAGUUGGAAACGACUGCUAAUACCGCAUAAUGUCUACGGACCAAACGGGGCUUAGGCUUCGGCGCAGAGAGAGGCCCAAGUGAGAUUAGCUAGUUGGUGGGGUAAAGGCUCACCAAGGCGACGAUCUCUAGCUGUUCUGAGAGGAAGAUCAGCCACACUGGGACUGAGACACGGCCCAGACUCCUACGGGAGGCAGCAGUGGGGAAUAUUGCACAAUGGGGGAAACCCUGAUGCAGCCAUGCCGCGUGUGUGAAGAAGGCCUUCGGGUUGUAAAGCACUUUCAGUUGUGAGGAAAAGUGAGUAGUUAAUACCUGCUCACCGUGACGUUAACAACAGAAGAAGCACCGGCUAACUCCGUGCCAGCAGCCGCGGUAAUACGGAGGGUGCGAGCGUUAAUCGGAAUUACUGGGCGUAAAGCGCACGCAGGCGGUUUGUUAAGCUAGAUGUGAAAGCCCCGAGCUCAACUUGGGAUGGUCAUUUAGAACUGGCAGACUAGAGUCUUGGAGAGGGGAGUGGAAUUCCAGGUGUAGCGGUGAAAUGCGUAGAUAUCUGGAGGAACAUCAGUGGCGAAGGCGACUCCCUGGCCAAAGACUGACGCUCAUGUGCGAAAGUGUGGGUAGCGAACAGGAUUAGAUACCCUGGUAGUCCACACCGUAAACGCUGUCUACUAGCUGUUUGUGGCUUUAAGCCGUGAGUAGCGAAGCUAACGCGAUAAGUAGACCGCCUGGGGAGUACGGCCGCAAGGUUAAAACUCAAAUGAAUUGACGGGGGCCCGCACAAGCGG